This 560-nucleotide ribosomal RNA is filed under the name Streptomyces glaucescens. RNAcentral describes it as "bacterial SSU rRNA". It matches the Rfam family "Bacterial small subunit ribosomal RNA", at positions 98 to 671 of the family's 1533-position model. Lineage: Bacteria; Bacillati; Actinomycetota; Actinomycetes; Kitasatosporales; Streptomycetaceae. The record is from RNAcentral.
GCGAACGGGUGAGUAACACGUGGGCAAUCUGCCCUGCACUCUGGGACAAGCCCUGGAAACGGGGUCUAAUACCGGAUACUGAUUGUCUUGGGCAUCCUUGAUGAUCGAAAGCUCCGGCGGUGCAGGAUGAGCCCGCGGCCUAUCAGCUUGUUGGUGAGGUAACGGCUCACCAAGGCGACGACGGGUAGCCGGCCUGAGAGGGCGACCGGCCACACUGGGACUGAGACACGGCCCAGACUCCUACGGGAGGCAGCAGUGGGGAAUAUUGCACAAUGGGCGCAAGCCUGAUGCAGCGACGCCGCGUGAGGGAUGACGGCCUUCGGGUUGUAAACCUCUUUCAGCAGGGAAGAAGCGAAAGUGACGGUACCUGCAGAAGAAGCGCCGGCUAACUACGUGCCAGCAGCCGCGGUAAUACGUAGGGCGCAAGCGUUGUCCGGAAUUAUUGGGCGUAAAGAGCUCGUAGGCGGCUUGUCGCGUCGGUUGUGAAAGCCCGGGGCUUAACCCCGGGUCUGCAGUCGAUACGGGCAGGCUAGAGUUCGGUAGGGGAGAUCGGAAUUCCU